GUUAAUGCUAAUAACAGAGGUCUUGCAGUUGUUUGGUUUUACUUGAUCUGGAACGCCUUGGGUUAGAAUAGCAGAGUUCACACGCAUGCCUCCGCUGGUGUACCUGGCUUCCUCUUGCAAAAUCCUGACUGGGAAUAAAUGAGCCUUGCUCGAGCCUCUGAAUCAAAAGCAAUGCCGAAGUCUGUUUGUUUUUGGUUUUUUUUAAAAGCUUCCUGUAAGAUACUUGGUGGGAUGUACUGGUUUUGCUUUUACCUUCUCUUUGGAAAGCAGUGGGGUUUUUGUUGACUCUAGAUGUUGGGGUUUGUCAGGUGUGCUGAUUCAGUGUUUUGAUUACAGUUUGUAAAAGUCACUUGAAGCAGAGGGAUCUUGUUUAUGAGUAUUUAUAACGCUAAUAAAUCUCGCUAAGUUGUUGUGCCUGCACCAUGAAAGGUGCCUAAAUAUACACAGGAGUCUGAAAAAUUGUUUUCAUUCCUUAUCCUUUAGGAAUGAAAGAAUAUCAGCUUUAAUUUUACUCUGAAGAGUGAAAAGAAAUAGUAGCCCACAGGCUACUGACCUGAGGUGAUCAGUGGGCACCCUCAUUGACUGGGAGAAAUCUGUAACUGUAUCUAGUAGAAUUGCUGCAGUUUCACCUUCUGUGCCAUAUGUAGACACAUUUUCCUUGUUUUGUUAAGAAAUAUCUUGGAUAGGAAAAGUCAAAUUUGCAUAGCUCCACGAACUCAUUUUUUUUUCAUAACGUACAUGGCAUACUGUAUGUUCAAUUUAAAUAAUUUACUUAACAGUGCUUAAAAAAUUCUAAACAUUUAUUCAUUUAUUUCUCAAACAUUUCAGGGGAAGACAAAUCCCAAGCCACUAGCUAAGCAGAAUUCAGAAGUAGAUAUUUACAGAGGACAGGUAUCAUGCUUUAGUUCUUUCUGCCCCCUCCCCCCCCCUUUUUUUUUUCCCAGAAAGUUAGUCUGUCUUAAAAAGCACAGCAAACCCACACCCCAUCUUUAACUUGCAGUGGACUUGCACCAGACCCGUGCUCUUGGUGAGGGAAUGUUCCCAGGAGAACAGAAAUUUUGGAUUUCUGUCAGAUGAUCUGUUGUGGACCUUCUUGUGUAAGCUUUUUGGUGCUGGCCUCAGAGGGUCUGAUCAGCAGUGGAGUCCCUGGUGGGACUCUCCUGGUGGGAUUGUAAUAAUGUGGGAUAUCACACUGGAGUUCAGUACAUGCACGGUGCAUGUGGCUGAGGUUUGCUUACCUGUCCUUUCUCAGGAGUUCUGUGUAGCCUCCCUUUGCUCAUCUGUCUUUUUGUCCCCGAAGUUUGAAUGGUGGGUAGGAAUUUUUUUAGUCCUUUAGGUUCCUGCUGUAGUUUGGGAUGGCUCUUGAAUCCUGUAGUGACCACAAGGAGCUUAGUCACAGUCUGUGUCCUCUGUAUCUGUCUAGGCAGUGGGUUUGUCUUGCUUUCGAAGCUUGUCUUCCCCCUAUAGAUUCAGUUUUUGCUCAGUCCAUGUUUAUUCCAAUAAAAAUGUUGUUCUUCUACCAAGUUUAAGCUGAGCAUUAGUUAAAAUGUGAAGGCAGUUGAUAAACUUUGAUAUUUGUAUUCCAGGAGAUGCAGGGUAGACAUGGAAAUUGCAGUUAAAAAAAUUGCUUCUCUGAAUGCAGUAUUCAUCAGCACAAAGCCUGCUAAGCUGAUAUUAUAUGAGUUUGAGCCUAUGAUCACUGACAUGCUGUAGAGGAGCUCCAGUUGUAGCAAAGACCUUUGCUUAUUGGAGUGUGUUAAAUUUCCUUCCACAGAAGGGAAAACAAAAAAACUUUUUUCUUUUCUUUGACCAGAUGAAAGGUUGUGAAACCUUUUUCUGCUACGUGUAAUAAAGAGAGCUGUUUACAA
This is a long non-coding RNA of Corvus hawaiiensis (hawaiian crow), 1868 nucleotides long. RefSeq lists it as uncharacterized. NCBI's taxonomy places the organism in Eukaryota, Metazoa, Chordata, Aves, Passeriformes, Corvidae. The record is from RefSeq and is a predicted model, not a curated record. The transcript has 2 exons.